This 70-nucleotide small nucleolar RNA is filed under the name Mola mola (ocean sunfish). RNAcentral's name for it is "Small nucleolar RNA SNORD61 (ENSMMOG00000014509.1)". It matches the Rfam family "Small nucleolar RNA SNORD61". From Rfam's summary of the family: U61 belongs to the C/D class of snoRNA which contain the C (UGAUGA) and D (CUGA) box motifs. Most of the members of the box C/D family function in directing site-specific 2'-O-methylation of substrate RNAs. The record is from Rfam by way of RNAcentral. Lineage: Eukaryota; Metazoa; Chordata; Actinopteri; Tetraodontiformes; Molidae.
GCAAUGAUGAAUAUGUGGUUUUGAUCAGCAAUGAAACCACUCAAACAAUCCUCUAAGAAGUUCUGAGCUC